RNAcentral lists this ribosomal RNA (531 nucleotides) under uncultured bacterium. RNAcentral's name for it is "bacterial SSU rRNA". It matches the Rfam family "Bacterial small subunit ribosomal RNA", at positions 355 to 896 of the family's 1533-position model. The record is from RNAcentral.
UGGGGAAUCUUGCGCAAUGGGCGAAAGCCUGACGCAGCAACGCCGCGUGUGGGAUGAAGGCCUUCGGGUCGUAAACCGCUGACAAGAGGGACGAAGCGAAAGUGACGGUACCUCUAGAGGAAGCCCCGGCUAACUACGUGCCAGCAGCCGCGGUAAUACGUAGGGGGCGAGCGUUGUCCGGAUUUAUUGGGCGUAUAGAGCGCGUAGGCGGCUUGGCAAGUCGGGUGUGAAAACCGGGGGCUCAACCCGCGGACUGCACUCGAAACUGCCAGGCUUGAGUCUGGUAGAGGAAAGUGGAAUUCCUAGUGUAGCGGUGAAAUGCGCAGAUAUUAGGAAGAACACCAGUGGCGAAGGCGGCUUUCUGGGCCAUGACUGACGCUGAGGCGCGAAAGCUAGGGGAGCGAACAGGAUUAGAUACCCUGGUAGUCCUAGCCGUAAACGAUGGGCACUAGGUGUAGGCGGUUAUCGACGCCGUCUGUGCCGUAGCUAACGCAUUAAGUGCCCCGCCUGGGGAGUACGGCCGCAAGGCUA